This 460-nucleotide ribosomal RNA is filed under the name uncultured bacterium. Its description in RNAcentral is "partial 16S ribosomal RNA". It matches the Rfam family "Bacterial small subunit ribosomal RNA", at positions 338 to 795 of the family's 1533-position model. The record is from RNAcentral.
CCUACGAGUGGCAGCAGUGAGGAAUAUUGGUCAAUGGCCGGAAGGCUGAACCAGCCAUGCCGCGUGAAGGUCAGUGCCCUAUGGGCGUUAAACUUCUUUUGUGCGGGAGCAAUAAUGGUCACGUGUGGCCCGACGAGAGUACCGUACGAAUAAGCAUCGGCUAACUCCGUGCCAGCAGCCGCGGUAAUACGGGGGCAGAAAGCGUUUUCCGGAUUUAUUGGGUUUAAAGGGUGCGUAGGCGUUGAGGUAAGUCAGCGGUGAAAUGCCCCCGCUCAACGGGGUGAAGUGCCAUUGAUACUGCCUUGCUGGAAUGCGGAUGCCGUGGGAGGAAUGUGUGGGGUAGCGGUGAAAUGCAUAGAUAUCACACAGAACACCGAUUGCGAAGGCAUCUCACGAAUCCGCGAUUGACGCUGAUGCACGAAAGCGUGGGUAUCAAACAGGAUUAGAUACCCGGGUAGUC